GAGAACCAGCUUAAGGGUUAAAACAAAUGGUAUGAAACUGAGACGCCGCUACUUUGCUGAUGUUAGUUGAAUUUAUUAUCAUUAUUUCUCAAGAUGGACAAUCUCAGCCAGAUAGACUUAAUUUUGAAUUUUCGAUUGAGACGUUUUUAUGAUUGUAUAGGAGCCCUCCAAUUACAGGACAGCUACACUAGUUUUGAUAUAAAUGGCCAA
This 210-nucleotide unclassified non-coding RNA is filed under the name Hevea brasiliensis (rubber tree). Lineage: Eukaryota; Viridiplantae; Streptophyta; Magnoliopsida; Malpighiales; Euphorbiaceae. The record is from RNAcentral.